Molecule: ribosomal RNA, 511 nt
Filed under: uncultured bacterium
Lineage: Bacteria
Description: bacterial SSU rRNA
Rfam family: Bacterial small subunit ribosomal RNA
Source: RNAcentral
ACUUUGAUUCUGGCUCGGGACGAACGCUGGCGGCGCGCCUAACACAUGCAAGUCGAGCGGGAGGCUUUUUAAGGAUUCUUCGGAUGAAUUAAAAAGUGGAGAGCGGCGGACGGGUGAGUAACGCGUGAGAAACCUGCCCUAUACAGGGGGAUAGCCAUUGGAAACGAUGAUUAAUACCCCAUAUGACCACAGUAUCGCAUGAUACAGCGGUGAAAACUCCGGUGGUAUAGGAUGGUCUCGCGUCUGAUUAGCUAGUUGGUGGGGUAACGGCCUACCAAGGCGACGAUCAGUAGCCGGCCUGAGAGGGUGACCGGCCACACUGGAACUGAGACACGGUCCAGACUCCUACGGGAGGCAGCAGUGGGGAAUAUUGCACAAUGGGCGAAAGCCUGAUGCAGCGACGCCGCGUGAACGAUGAAGGCUUUCGAGUCGUAAAGUUCUGUUCUUGGGGAAGAUAACGACGGUACCCAAGGAGAAAGCACCGGCUAAAUACGUGCCAGCAGCCGCGGUA